This 73-nucleotide transfer RNA is filed under the name Bradyrhizobium australiense. Its description in RNAcentral is "tRNA-OTHER". The record is from RNAcentral. Lineage: Bacteria; Pseudomonadati; Pseudomonadota; Alphaproteobacteria; Hyphomicrobiales; Nitrobacteraceae.
GGCCCGGUGGCGGAAGCGACGCGGGAGCAGUGCAAUGCUCUUUAUCCUGGUUCAAAUCCAGGCCGGGCCUCCA